UGGAAGGGAAAUCUGGCCACAAAACUGUUAUGUUAAGCACUUUUCCACAGGAACUUAUUGCUUUAAUAAGUUGGGAGAAUGCUCUUGAAGAAAAAAAAUAGUCGUUGAAGAUUCAUUAGAGGAAGAAAAAAAAACCUACUUGAUUCUCCAUGGAAUUCACAGUUUCCUUGCUGUGGAAUGCUGCACAUACCCUGAGGUCCUAGCAAGGAGUCAGAGUGAGACAGCCACUCACCAGCGGAAAGAGAAUUUUAUGUUCUCAGGCACAGCACAGAAUGAUGAAAGUGUGUAUACCCGGCAGUACUUCCAAUAUCCCCGUGGACUGGGGAUUCCAAGAUAAACAACGCCUCACGCAGAGUUUCCAGGUACUGCUCUGUGAAAAAUUGAGACAUGCAUUUGCUUUUUUUGCUGAUAGCCAGUGAGAAGAUAUAGGCCUUGAGGUAGAGAUAAGGAAGAAAAGAAAACUCCUUUGCUCAGUGGAAAAAUGGAAGGGGAAAGGGGAAAAUGACACGAUUUAAAAAUACAUCUAAAGACAGAAUAUACCUGAAUCCAGGUAAACAAUAAGAUUGAUCUAUAUAAAACAUCUGAUGCCAAAGACAUUUACCCAAAUUUUCAUGCACUGUGUAAAGUCUCUACAUCAGAAUUUUAUGGAAAAGAAAUUUGCAUUAACGCCUUCCUUUCUCUCCACAUCGCACACAUAGAAUUCUAUAAACCAAUUUAUUCCUUUACUUCCUUCUCCUCUGUCUCCACCUUCUAAGUGUGUAUUCUUAGCCCAGGAAGAAGUCAGAGCCAGUUAUUGUACACAAAUCAUCUCCUGGCUGAAGUUUUUGGUGGCAGCCAAGAGAGGAGAAGGGAAAAAAAUUAGAAAAAUUUCAAUUUCAGGACCAUUAUUAUUUUCAUUAAUCAUAAGAGGCGCUGUCACCCCUGUCCUUAUUCUUUCGAAGGAGAUCUAUUAUACGGUCCAUUUAGUCCGAGCCAUAUUACCUCAUAUGUUUUCCUGGCUGACCAAAUAAGACUUAAGAGAUAAAACAAUUUACUGUUCAUUAUGAUCCGUGUCACUGGAAUCAAUCUAUUAACCUACAUUAACUGGAUAUGUGACGAUAUCUCACAUACACGCUUCCUCAGUUUAAAGAAAAGGCGAGCAAAUGGGGAGGGGGCAGAGAGAGUGAGGGAAAAGGAGAGGGAAGGAAAUCAGGGCCCAUAAAGUGCAGCAGACGUAUAAUUUGCCAAGCGAAUACAACUUCAUUUUCCAGUGCCCACUGCUGCGCCCUCCACAUCUUCACGCAGCCCCUGACCUGUAAAGAAGUCUAACAAAUUGGCUUCUAUUGUGGAGCCAAAAGGUGCCAUCAAAGAAGGGACGGUUCGCUGGUCCUAAAGUAUGAUGGGAAAUCUCAGGCUGGAAUAAAGAGCUGCCGUUUUAUGAAGUUAACCCAUUAAGGUUAAAAGCAAGCAAGAAGCCGUGGCCGGUGGGGCAGCAGCACCAGAAAGAGCCUUCUUGUUCAAACACAGGAAAGGCAGCACGAGGUGAAGCAAGGGCCACACAAAGGUAAAAUAAAAAUCAGCAUCAUCUUCCUAUUUUCAGCAAUAAAAAUCCCCCUGCUGUGUCUCCAGACAGCCCCUCUGUUUCAUUCUCACUCCCUUUCCGUAGAGGAAGGGUCAUAAGCAUCUCAAGGGAAGGAAAUGAAUCAAUGGGUGGUUUUAAUGCACCCCUGCGUGAAAAUGUAACUUUAGACGGUAGAGCAGUUAAGGUGGCAGGUACAUCGCUAGAAUGUGGCUCUAUCAUCCUGUUUAUCCUACAUUUGUAACCGCUUGUUAAGAGCUUGUCUGGGCGUUGCCUUGUGUGGUGUAAAUUUCCUUCGGAGACUCCAGAGCCCAAUGCAAGGCUGCCCAGCCCACAGGCAGACCCCUCCAUACACGGUGCACUAAUCCAGACCAUCCAAGUUGUCAAGGAGUUGAGCAUUGUUAACUCACAGCCGGAGCAGCUUGUGCAUGGUGAGGGUGAGCCACCACCUGUUUCCCUUGCAGGAUGGAGGGAAAAAACUUCAGACUGUAUAUAUUUCCCUUUCAUGGGUGAUUGGGCCCACUAAUUACCAUAGGAACCUGAGGGAUAGAAAUACAAAACUCUGUUCUUCAUUCAACUUUCUUAGUCCCAGGAAGAAGGAAAACAUCGGUGAUCACUGGCUGCUUUCUAGCGGGUAUAAUUGGUGUAGGAAAACUUCCCCGGGUGGGGCUGUGGGUGAGCGGUGGGGAGAAGGGAUGCAUUUCUUGGCAGCUGCACCUGAGUUAUUGCUUACUGACAUAUCCUGUUCUGGAGAACAGGAAAUGAAAGGCAGUUGGAAUUAUUGGUAAGCCAUGUCAUUCCUAACUAGUAAAAGGCUGGGAUCACACACACAUUAUUCACAAAUAUAAAAGUGCUGAAGAAGUAUCCAGUUAUUUUGCAUGCUGGUGACAUCAUUAUACCUCUUCAUGGGUUUUCAUGGGUGUAUUCCUGGGCCACCUCAGUAAAAUUAUACUCCUUUUGGUCCAUAUCAACAGAACUGUUUUUAAAAAGACCUCGAGGGAUCUCUUCUGCUUGAAGAUACACAUUCAGCUCCUUCUUCCUUUCUCCAAAGUACCGACAGAAAAAAAAGUAAAUGAAGCUAGCAGCGGAAACAUCUUUGUACCCUUCGUUUCUCCACAAGGUUGUUGAGACGAGAAAAGACAGUUGGAGCAGUAUUUCAACACAAAUGAAACUUCCUGUUUG
This 2740-nucleotide long non-coding RNA is filed under the name Equus caballus (horse). RNAcentral's name for it is "lncRNA (ENSECAG00000044996.1)". The record is from RNAcentral. Lineage: Eukaryota; Metazoa; Chordata; Mammalia; Perissodactyla; Equidae.